Molecule: transfer RNA, 69 nt
Filed under: Marmota monax (woodchuck)
Lineage: Eukaryota; Metazoa; Chordata; Mammalia; Rodentia; Sciuridae
Description: tRNA.Ala
Source: RNAcentral
GGAGUUGCGGCUCAGUGGUAGAGCAUUUGCCUAGCAUGUAUGAGGCACUGUGUUCAAUUCUCAGCACCA